GUCCUAGCCGUAAACGUUGGGCACUAGGUGUGGGAGGUAUCGACCCCUCCCGUGCCGCAGCUAACGCAUUAAGUGCCCCGCCUGGGGAGUACGGCCGCAAGGUUGAAACUCAAAGGAAUUGACGGGGGCCCGCACAAGCGGUGGAGCAUGUGGUUCAAUUCGACGCAACGCGAAGAACCUUACCAGGGCUUGACAUCCUCGGAAGCCUGCCGAAAGGCAGGCGUGCCCGCAAGGGAGCCGAGAGACAGGUGGUGCAUGGCUGUCGU
Molecule: ribosomal RNA, 266 nt
Filed under: uncultured bacterium
Lineage: Bacteria
Description: partial 16S ribosomal RNA
Rfam family: Bacterial small subunit ribosomal RNA
Source: RNAcentral